UACCAUUUAAAGCCGACGCUGGCUGCCAGGU
This 31-nucleotide non-coding RNA is filed under the name Mus musculus (house mouse). The record is from RNAcentral. Lineage: Eukaryota; Metazoa; Chordata; Mammalia; Rodentia; Muridae.